CGUAUCCCGCGCUCGUUCCAGAUGAUCAACAGGUGUUCCGUUCGGUGGAGGCGUCUCGUUAUCACGCUAUGUGUGCUACGACAUCGCCGGCUCACAUGGACCGCUUGAUAAUGAUAAGCGAGUGUAUUGCACCAACCCGUACAAUCACUAAAAUCCGACGUAUACUUACGGCCAGGUUGCUGAUAUGAUGCGCAAAUACAUAACUAGACAACGGAGCUUGUCUUGGACAAAAAUCAUAAUCGCUUCAGCAAUAGGAGUGUUUGGUGGAGUGUACGUUUGGAAGCCGUUUUUCGAAUCUUUGGACAACGAACGACACAAGAAAAUUAAGAAAGAAUGAAUAAAAAUGUAAAACCCGUUCAACCUGGUGGUGUACUCACCGGUAAUUUCAACAAAAUUUUAGCAUUUGUUGGUUUGAGCUGGUUUGCAUCUAUGUUGGUUGUUAGAUAUGUUAUAAAACCAUACAAAAUAGAAUCAACUAUGAGAGAAAAUGAAAUGCUUAUGAAUCAGCUUUAUGAUGAACAAAAAUCACAAAAAAAUAAAAUAAGCGAAUUUGAUGAAUAAAAAAUAUUGAUGUUUUAUCAAUGUUUUGACUUUUUUGA
Long non-coding RNA from Melanaphis sacchari, 599 nucleotides. RefSeq lists it as uncharacterized. The transcript is spliced from 3 exons. NCBI's taxonomy places the organism in Eukaryota, Metazoa, Arthropoda, Insecta, Hemiptera, Aphididae. The record is from RefSeq and is a predicted model, not a curated record.